AAAAGGAAGGAAAAAUAAAAUUUAGAACUGUGUACAGGGAAGUCCGGUGGAAAUCCGGCGCUGUUAAACAACUGUAUUAAGGAAUAUCAGUAUUGUAAUCCUCUCACAAAGGAAUACUGAUAUGAUGAUCUUGAGUCAGAGUGCUGGCUGGUUCUAUUUUAUCUC
Molecule: non-coding RNA, 165 nt
Organism: Fusobacterium necrophorum subsp. funduliforme 1_1_36S
Lineage: Bacteria; Fusobacteriati; Fusobacteriota; Fusobacteriia; Fusobacteriales; Fusobacteriaceae
Source: Rfam